This 2086-nucleotide long non-coding RNA is filed under the name Olea europaea subsp. europaea. The record is from RNAcentral. Lineage: Eukaryota; Viridiplantae; Streptophyta; Magnoliopsida; Lamiales; Oleaceae.
CCUACUUAUCUAUUACUCAUAUUUAUUUAUUAAUAAAGCUGUGUGUAAAACACACCCAAACACGUAUAUUAAUCAUGUAAUAGUUCCUUUUAUUAGUUGAACUUGAAGGAAAUGCAUUUGCCUUUCACCUUCAGCCAAAAAUAGAUCUAAAGUGUGUUUUAGAUUUUCAAAAUGGCUGAAAACUUCUCUAACGGAGACAUGCAAUGAUAAUUAAAUGCAUUUAAGAAAAAAAACACAUUAAAGGGUCUUAGAAUUACAUUUUAACAAAUCAAUAUAAUAACGAAUACAUAUAGUCCAAAAGUUUAAUUUCGUUCAUAUAAUAAUAUAUUCCAUAUAAUUAAGAUAGAUAAAUUAAUGUAGUUCGAAUAAUUUAAAUAGUAAUUAAAUGAUUCAUUUAGUAAAUUGCUAAUCGCUAAAUACCUAUCGUCCACACUCCAGUGGCUUUGGGGAAAAAAAAUAUAAAUUGAUAACUGCUCUCUCUAUAAUUUUGAAUUAGGUUGUGAGGGAAUAAUCAAGGCAUUUUGAUUUUGACCUUUCAAUUAUAUUGCACCAAUAACAAUUUAUUUGCUAAAAAAAUUGGAAAAAAGAUAAUAGAAAGAGAUGGAACAGGGAAAAUUUAUUUCUUUUGUUUUAACUGAAAAAGAGUACAUUGUUGUCCUAUAUAAAUUUGAUUUCAAUUUUUAAAACGCAAAGGUAGGUCUGGGAGCGGUUUGAUUUGGGUUGGUUUUGACUCUAACUCGAAACCAAAACCAAUUUAAUCGGUUUGGGUGAAUUUCAACCCAAACCAACCCACUAUAACUCUUAAACCGAAUCGGUUUGGUUCGGUUCGGUUCGGUUCGGUUAAUUGGUUUGGACUUUUAGUCCAACUUGAAUUAAAAAAAAAAUUGUCAAAGUUUCGGGCCCGAUUAGAUUACAAGAGCUAAAAUAGAUAAAUAACUUUAUAUUACAAAAAUUAUUGACUAACAAAUAAAAUCAGGUUAAUAGAAAUAGAUCAACAGAAGACUUAAGAAUUUUGUUAUCUUUUUAUGCAUUAUGUAAUCUGAUUGCCCGAGUAAGAGAAAAAGGCUAAUUACAAUAUAAUGAACUUGUGAAAAGAAAUUUUUAGUAUUAUUACUCAUAGGCAACAUCACAGAUUGGAGAGAAUUGUAAUAUAAUUACGAAAUUAGGGCUUAUUUUUUUAAUAUUUAUUUUUCUUUUAAAAAAAAGAUAAACAUGUAAGUGGAUUGGGUUGGUUCGGUUAACUAAUGGUUUAAGGUUUCAAAUCUUGACCGAACUAGCCUACCAUGGUUUUGUUUAAAAGAAAAUCAAACCAAACCAAUUAGCUGUGUAAAACCGACCCAAAUAGACACGAGUUGGUUCGAUUUGAUUGGUUUAAUCGAUUUUUCAGUUAUUUUGCCCAGGCCUACGCAAAGUUGGACCACUAAGACUAGUAAUGCAACAAAAGUCAAAGGUUGAUGAUCAAAAUGUCCAUACUUAAAGGUUAAGUACGAAUUGGACAAAUAGAACAUAGAUUGGGAUCAACAUGUAAUUUUCCCCAUAUUAAUUGCACAUAAGAAGAAUUAACUUCCAUCCGAAUAAUCUGACCAGAAUAGCUGAGUCUCCGAUUAUUAAAUUUAUAAUAAAUUCAUCAAUCAUUACAUUUCAUUGUAUUGACAAGUAAUCAUUCCUAUCUAUUUAUAAAACGAACCGUUUAUAUAACUUUUCCAAAUGAAGGCUAAAAAAACUAGUAACACAUUAACUCAGUACCUGUUUUCUUGACUAUUUAUCUACUUUAGUAGACACUAUCAAGGAUAAAUCAAUCAUGUCUGGAUCUUUUCUCAGUUUGUACUUUUUACAAAGGUUUCUAUUGAUGCUCAUUUAGAAAAAUAAUUGAAGAGUUAGAUAACAACAUUAUUAGCAGUAAUUAAUACUAAGCAGAGAAAGAUGGAAACGGCAAUUACAAAUGUUAAAAAGAAACAGUCACAUUGGAGGUUACCUUUUAGUUUGACGAUAUCAAUCUAAGCCUUCCAAUGAUGUUAACAAGAAGCUUGGAAAAUAUAACAAAAAUGAAGUUAUGAGAGAGAGAGAGAGAGAGAUGGCAUAUAAA